AUGCAGGUUCUCGAGGAGGUAGGGAGGCUAAUGGAGGAGUACAAGGACGAGGUGACCAGCAUCACCGUCACCGGCCAUAGCCUUGGCGCGUCACUCGCCACCCUCACCGCCAUCGGCAUGGUGGCCAACGACGUCAACGUGCCCCCUGCCUCGAAGCAACCGCCGUGCCCCGUGACAGCGAUACUGCUGGCGUGCCCGCGAGUCGGGAACCCAACGUUCAAGUCCGCCUUCGACUCUUUCCCCCUCCUGCGGGCACUCCACGUGGCGAAUGCCAAAGACAUUGUGCCACAGAACCCUCCCUCCGUGCUGCUAAUGUGGUACGUGGACAGCGCGACAGCAACGAUCGUAAUUGACACGGACCGGUCACCCUACGUGUUUCACAAAAUAUUCACCCACCACGUCCUCGAGUUGUACCUGCACGGUGUCGCAGGGGAUCAUGGCGACAAGGAGGACUUCAAACUAGUGGUUCCCCGCGACUUGGCACUGGUGAACAAGACUACCGACCUGCUGGAAGACGAAUACCCAGUGCCGGCGAGCUGGUGGGUCGUCAACAAGAAAUGCAUGGUCAAGGGCACCGAUGGCCAGUGGAAUGGAAACUCGAUGACUUCGAAAAAGCAUAGUUAA
This 624-nucleotide ribosomal RNA is filed under the name Triticum aestivum (bread wheat). RNAcentral's name for it is "partial small subunit ribosomal RNA". The record is from RNAcentral. Lineage: Eukaryota; Viridiplantae; Streptophyta; Magnoliopsida; Poales; Poaceae.